RNAcentral lists this transfer RNA (6402 nucleotides) under Salmo salar (Atlantic salmon). RNAcentral's name for it is "lncRNA (ENSSSAG00000107937.1, ENSSSAG00000116506.1)". Lineage: Eukaryota; Metazoa; Chordata; Actinopteri; Salmoniformes; Salmonidae. The record is from RNAcentral.
CUGUGCAAGGGUGUUUAUUUACAUAGUGAUUCUGGAACAAAAACAACAGUACUGCCAUCAAACGUAUACCUUAUGGGACAGCUAAAAACAAUGCUGCCCCAUCCACAGCUCAAUCCAAAAUGCCUCUCCAUGAACUGAAAGAGAGGCUCCUUUUGUAGGGGUAGCCCCUCCCCUCAGAACAAUUAACACUAAUUAAUUAAGCAAUUACCUAUUCAAACCUACAUUUUCCAUUUAACUAAACAUACUAAAGUAUAUACAUUGCAACACGUUUUUUAUUAAACAAUAUCACAAUAUAACAUUUACAAAAUUACAUCAUUACUGACAGUGUCUUUCAAUAUGUCCAUUUACAUUAAUGAGCCACUCGGGACAGGCACUACAAAGUCAACCCAAUUCCCUUAGCUCGGGUCCUUAUCCAGCAUACCCGUAAACUACAGAGAUGGAGAGAGAGAGGAACAGAACAAACAAACAACGCGCUCAUCCAUAACAUCUAAGUAUAAUAAAUAUUGCUUAUAUUAAAUAUGAACACUUGUCUGUUUAUUUCUUUUUACCAUAACCGGUUACUGACGUAAGUGUGAAAUGCAUGUACUAAGAUAGAGAAGUUAACUUGUGUCGACCCACAUUUAUCUGAUAACGGAGCAGGGAUGAGUGAUGAAUGUCUGUGUGCGUUAAAGUUCCAAAUUCUGCCCGCGGCCAGUGACGGACUUCUACGUCACAUUGUGUACAAAAUGUGAGAAAUAUCAACUCCUGUAUAUAUGGGAACUAAGGACUAGAGCUGGGCUGACAUCUUCUCAUCCAGUCCUUGUUACACCAUCCUGUCUAAUUGUUAGACAAUCCAGUACUACUGAAACAGAGGAGUCUGCAUCCCAAAUGACACACUAUUCCCUAUACAGCCCACAUACAUUGAUUGUGGAUAGAUACUCAUUAGAGCAAUGUGUCCGGACCUAUAUUAUCCACCAAAGGAAUAAAUCUCAGGAUUACCUGUCAAACUAGGAUUAUAGCACAGCAGAAAAUUAUUUAGAAUUUCUCCCAAUGUGUAUCUCCUGUGUAUCUAAAGUCAAUGUAUAGACAGCACAUGUCCAAUAUGGUGUGGAAUAAUAUGAAUCAAGAGGAAAGGAAAUGAAAGGAGAAGGGAAAGUGAUAUUAGAAUUAUGUUCUCAAUGUUAACUUCAAUUAAAAUACUCAGUCUGCCACCUAGAAUGUGUAAGAUUCUGGUUGAAUAACACAGACGGAGGCCCGGCUUACAAGAAUCAGACGUGUUUAUUCAGGAGAGCGCUCUGCCGUUCAUUGUACAGAAACAUCAUUAUAUACCAGGCGCCGUAUUUACACACACACACAUACACACUAACAUUAAGGCCCAGAUCCCUUAACCUGUUGGGGCUAGGGGGCAGUAUUUGCACGGCCGGAUAAAAAACGUACCCGAUUUAAACUGGUUACUACUCUUGCCCAGAAACGAGAAUAUGCAUAUAAUUAGUAGAUUUGGAUGGAAAACACUCUAAAGUUUCUAAAACUGUUUGAAUGGUGUCUGUGAGUAUAACAGAACUCAUAUGGCAGGCCAAAACCUAAGAAGAUUCCAUACAGGAAGUGCCCUGUCUGACAAUUUGUUAUCCUUCUGUUGCAUCUCUAUCGAAAAUACAGCAUCUCUGCUGUAACGUGACAUUUUCUAAGGCUUCCAUUGGCUCUCAGAAGGCGCCAGAAAGUGGAAUGAUGUGUCUCCUGUCUCUGGGAGAAGAACAGCAGGAGAUUUUGUGAGUGGUCAGGCUGGGAACAGUGACACUGGAGAUGCGCAUUCAUGAGAAUUCUCCAUUUUUUUUCUUUCAGCCUUUGAAUGAAUACAACGUCGCCCGGUUGGAAUAUUAUCGCUAUUUUACGAGAAAAAUAGCAUAAAAAUGAAUUUUAAACAGCGUUUGACAUGCUUCGAAGUACAGUAAUGGAAUAUUUUGAAAUUCUUUGUCACGAAAUGCGUUCGCGCGUCACCCUUCGGAUAGUGACUUGAACACACGAACAAAAUGGAGCUAUUUGGAUAUAACUAUGGAUUAUUUGGAACCAAAACAACAUUUGUUGUUGAAGUAGAAGUCCUGGGAGUGCAUUCUGAUGAAGAACAGCAAAGGUAAUAACAUUUUUCUUAUAGUAAAUCUGACUUUGGUGAGUGCUAAACUUGCUGGGUGUCUAAAUAGCUAGCCCUGUGAUGCCGGUCUAUCUACUGAGAAUAUUGAAAAAUGUGCUUUCACCGAAAAGCUACAUAUCGAGUGCAUAGAGGAGUUCUGUAUCUAUAAUUCUUAAAGUAAUUGUUAUGCUUUUUGUGAACGUUUAUCGUGAGUAAUUUAGUAAAUUCACCGGCAGUGUUCGGUGGGAAUGCUAGUCACAUGCUAGUCACAUGCUAAUGUAAAAAGCUGUUUUUUGAUAUAAAUAUGAACUUGAUUGAACAAAACAUGCAUGUAUUGUAUAACAUAAUGUCCUAGGGUUGUCAUCUGAUGAAGAUCAUCAAAGGUGAGUGCUGCAUUUAGCUGUUUUCUGGGUUUUGGUGACAUUAUAUGCUAGCUUGAAAAAUGGGUGUCUGAUUAUUUCUGGCUUGGUACUCUGCUGACAUAAUCUAAUGUUUUGCUUUCGUUGUAAAGCCUUUUUGAAAUCGGACAGUGUGGUUAGAUUAAUGAGAGUCUUGUCUUUAAAUAGCUGUAAAAUAGUCAUAUGUUUGAGAAAUUGAAGUAAUAGGAUUUUUAAGGUUUUGAAAAUCGCGCCACAGGCUUCAAGUGGCUGUUACGUAGGUGGGACGAAUUCGUCCCGCCUAGCCCAUAGAGGUUAAAACUCAGAAAAUAAAACUUCAACGAUUCCAUGUGUGUGUAACUUCUAAGAUUCCAUAUGUGUGUAUACCCCUUUAAGAAAUCUUGGCUCUAGGAAACAUUCCAAAGAGAGACAAUGAAGCACUCAUUUUCCCAGAGAAAUAAAAACACAAACACUUGGUCAGCAUUCAUUAUACUACACCAAUUCAGAACCCCAAACGUUGACUAUAAACAAAACCUAAUAAUAAUUCCACUGUAAACCCCUCAAAUCAUUAAUCAUUAGUUUUAAACUUCCUCAAUGGUUAUGUGUACUUAAUUGAACAUGCGCUACCCUUGGAUACAAUAUUUUACUUCAAAUCUAUGAAACUCCUCUAUUUAACAUACAAUUUGGCCCAAGCUUGCUUUACAACAUUAAAACCCCUUCAGUCUGUCUUCAAACAGGCUCUCAAAGUGUUUGAUAGGACUACCCUGCCAUAAGACGCACACUACUGUGAUUAAUGUGCACGGUACCUGUAAAAUAAAAUUAACUCAACCUACAAUUCACUUCACUGACCUGACGUUGUUCCACGUAAUGGAAACAGAUUUAUAAUGUUAGAAUACUUUAACUUCCUGCCUAAAUUCACUGGUGUUAACUAAACAAUCAAACCAAGAAUCAUUAACCAGAAACUAUCACACAACUUUUACAAUUCAACUAUCCAGACUUGAAUCGCUUUACAGCCAAUCUAUAUCCCAGCGAGUGCAACUAGCUCCCCUAUUCUUUCCAGCAGACAAAAAUAUAAUCUCUACUCAAACAACAUUCUACCUUACCUCUAUCGUAAGAUUAAAACAUAUGUUACAACUUUCUCCUCUCUUUCGGCUUCACACUUAUGAAAUGUCUACGACUUUAAAAGUACCAUGUAGAUCGCCAAAUUUAUCAAAUACUUCAUUCAACUCCUUUCAACUAAAAAACAAAUUUCGGUGGGUUCUACUCAAUCGCAAUCACUUAUCCGCUCAUUAUAAUUCAUUAGAUUUAGGUAACUGUCUCUUCCAUUGAAACUGAACAAGCUAUCAAAACGUUCAGUUUAUAUCUUAAACAACCACUAACAACCGUAUCUUUCCAGGUAAAACAUACCAACAGUUGAAUGACAAUCCGCACCUACAAUUUUAAUCAACUGAUGCAUAGGCUGAGAAACAAACCCAGGUCUCCCACAUGGUAGGCAAGGAUUCUACCUCUGAACCACCAAUGCUAUUGCUUAGGGUUGCAAUUUCGGUGGUUUUGUCCUACUCGGCCACAAUGUUUACAGGGAGCCUUACCUUCUCGAGCGAAUUGUCCUGUCUUAUUGCAAUUCGAACACUUUCUAUCGUCUGGUUCCAUCCAUUUUCUACUCUCCCUUUUCCCCCCUUUCUCUUUCUUCUUCUGACAAUCUCGGUUUUUAUGUCCUGUUUUGUUACAAUGUUUACACGAUGCCUCACAAUCCCUUGCAUAAUGCAUAAUGCCCCGACUUCUGACAGUUGAAACAUGUAUUUUCCUUAUUCCUAUCCAUUUAUUUUUUCUUAAACACAGUUACCCCGAUAGUUACUGUUAGAUGCUCUAACUCAACCGGUUCACUCUUUUCCCAGUCUCGGUGAUUAUGGCCUACUUUAUUGUAGUGUUUACACGGUGCCUCACAAUCCCUUGCAUAAUGCAUAAUGCCCCGACUUCUGACAGUUGAAACAUGUAUUUUCCUUAUUCCUAUCCAUUUAUUUUUUCUUAAACACAGUUACCCCGAUAGUUACUGUUAGAUGCUCUAACUCAACCGGUUCACUCUUUUCCCAGUCUCGGUGAUUAUGGCCUACUUUAUUGUAGUGUUUACACGGUGCCUCACAAUCUCUAGCAAAAUUACCCGGUUUGUGACAGUUAAAGCAUCUAUUUCCCCCUUUCUUUUGACUGUCUCUAUCCACUUUUCUCGACUUUCUCAAUAAGUUUGCUAAAUCCUGUUCUCCUUUACUGUGUCUCUGUGGGGGCCUUGGGAGUCCUCUCCGUCUGAGAGGAUUUACUACUCAUGUUCGUUGAAUUACUAUCAGAGUUAUUAUGCUUCAUCACACAAUCUGUGUGUUAUCUAUUACUCUCUAUGUGUGUUUUCUACCGUUAUUAUCCUUAACCUAUAUUACAAAAUACAUACCGUAAUCUUUCCUAGAAUAUUAGAAUAUUUAUUUGUAUGAAUCCUGAUAUAUUAUUUAGAUCUCACACGUAUACCACCAUAAGUUAUACUUAUUUUUAUGUCGUUCCUUGCGACUUUUGACUGAUCAAUAUGUCUAUCUCACACGCAAAUAAUUAUCUCCUUAUUCUAUGUGUGUGCUUUUAAAACUCUGAUUCAAUUACUUCUAUGUGUAUUCCUUACCUACUGUUAAUUUCCUCUAGGAUCUUAGAAUAAUAUUUUUUAUGACUUUUGAUAGAUUAUUAGGUCUCACAUGUAUACAACAAUAAGCUAUUUACCAGAGGUUGUAAGGCCCUGGUCAACAGCCCAUUUUUCCGUUGUUCCUUAUGGCUUUUGACUGAUCAAUAUAUCUCUCACACGCAAUUAUCUUCUUACCCCCGUGGAAAUUUCCCAAUGUGUCUGUGUUGCAAUUACUAUCUCUUUCUUGAAACUUUAUCUAUAGAGGUGACUUUUGAUCGGACAUUAGGUCUCAUACGUAUAUGACUAUAAGCUAUUUUCCAGGGGUUGUAAAGCCCUAGUUAACAGCCUAUUUUUCUGUCGUUCCUUGCAAUUAUUGACUCGUUAAUAUCACGUAUCUCACUCCGCUAUAUUAGGUUUCCUUUCUUAAAUGGAUAAUCAGACCUAGAUGUGCGCCUCUGGAAGAUCUGACCAUCCCCCUUCUAUCGUCGUUAUUUAAUUACUUCUAUGUGUAUUCAAUUACUUCUAUGUGUAUUCCUUCUUUCCACUAGUUUCCAGUGGUAAAUACCUCGUUAUUCAGCUUGCAUAAUAUAUCCUUGAUCAGGUUUAACAAAUCGUUCUCUUAGAUCUCAAUAUUAGCUAGUUUACUCUGGUAGUGCAGAUACCCUAUGUCAUUUCGGACAAAGUCACUGAGGAUUUAACAAUUCCUAGGUGGCUUCUACUCCCAAUUCCAUAGAAUAGUACCUAUAUCAGGGUUCUCUACACAACAUUCUAAAGAUAGGUCACCAGGUUAGGUCACCAGGUUAGAAUACGCAAUCAGAUCUAGAGAUCAAUGUCCAAACCACACAAGAAUCAUAAAAAUAUUUCUCUGAAAGUAGCCUAGACGUCAAUUCCCCAAAUCCGUGAAUAAAGACUUACUGACCUUUGUCUUGUAGGCUGGGAAAAGCAAUGUAGGUUGGAUCCCGUCACCGUCUCUGUCAACCUUAGAUAUUUACCGGCCUGUUAUGGAACCCCAAUUUCAGGGGACAGGUCUUUAAUUAACGAGUCAAUGACCCGCCCAUGCACGGUUUUCGGCGUGUUACCUUAGGAAGACAGGGACAGAUUUUUGGAUCCGGCUCAAAGGACCAAUUGAUAUGAGAAUUAUGUUCUCAAUGUUAACUUCAAUUAAAAUACUCAGUCUGCCACCCAGAAUGUGUAAGAUUCUGGUUGAAUAACACAGACGGAGGCCCAGCUUACAAGAAUCAGACGUGUUUAUUCAGGAGAGCGCUCUG